Molecule: ribosomal RNA, 397 nt
Filed under: uncultured bacterium
Lineage: Bacteria
Description: bacterial SSU rRNA
Rfam family: Bacterial small subunit ribosomal RNA
Source: RNAcentral
UAAUACAGAGGGUGCGAGCGUUGUCCGGAAUCACUGGGCGUAAAGGGCGCGUAGGCGGCUGGGUAAGCGUGUGGUGAAAGCCCGGGGCUCAACCCCGGGUCGGCCAUGCGAACUGUCCAGCUGGAGCACGGUAGAGGCACAUGGAAUUCCGGGUGUAGCGGUGGAAUGCGUAGAGAUCCGGAAGAACACCGGUGGCGAAGGCGGUGUGCUGGGCCGUGGCUGACGCUGAGGCGCGACAGCGUGGGGAGCAAACAGGAUUAGAUACCCUGGUAGUCCACGCCGUAAACGAUGGGCACUAGGUCCUUGGGGGAGCGACCCCGUGAGGGCCGGCGCUAACGCAUUAAGUGCCCCGCCUGGGGAGUACGGCCGCAAGGCUGAAACUUAAAUGAAUUGACGG